ACAGCGGCCCAGCGUCUCCGUCUCCCUUCCCAUCUCUCUACCUUUUCGGAGCUAGGGUUCGAGCCUGCGCCGCCGCCAGCCUCCGAGUCCGUCACCGCCACCGAGUCCGCACCGAUCAGAUCGACCCCGACUUGCUCUACGCCCUCCAAUACGUCCUCCCCAAAAUCGAUACUCGUACCUACGUCAUCGAGGACCCAGCCAGCGGCGGCGCCGACCUCCCGUUCAGGGCGGAUACCCAUGGUGAAGUCAUAAACGCCCCCGUACCCUCUCCAGCCCGGGAAAGAAGCAAGCGCCGGGUGGAGGAGGAGAACCUGUGGACAGACGUCUCCCCCAUCCCCUCCUCGGCCCGGGCAAGAGGCAAGCGCCGCAUGGAGGAGAACCCGUCAGCGGAAAUCCCGUGGUACGAAGCAUCGCCCUCGACUCCCGAGCGGCCGAAAUCGCCCACGCAGAGCGCCGCGCCGCUGCCUCCACCAGUGGACGGCCAAUCGGCCAUCCCUUCCGUCGGCGGCUCCCCAGCCCCAAUUUCCCUCCCCUAUUAUCCUCUAUCUCCCACUGCCCCACUCAACCCUCCACUCGCCAUCGAAUCCCAAAACCCUAGAGCCGGACUGCCGGAGGCCGGAACCCAGCCGCAGGCGCACGAAAACUUCUAACCGCCAACGUCUUGCGUCCUGCCCCUCCGCUGGAUUUCCCCUCUUCCUUUGUCACGCGCAUGGAUGUUGAGAUGGACCACGCGACCGGUCGUGUGAGACUAUGGCAAAGGGCAGGGGCGGAUUCCUGUGCCAGUGGUGACCAACACAAGUCGGUGUCAAGCUGCAAGAAAGGAUGACAAAGGCAAAACAAAUAUGCCAUGGAAACAAAACAAGGCACCUGACCGUUUUUUUCUUUUGAGAGGACACCUGAUCAUUUGUGAACCACGAUCUCAGCUUCAGUACUGCAUCCAAAGCUACACCGAAUCAUCCCAGCUUCAGUACUUUAGGCUGUACCUGUUGCAUCUGAUUUUACAGUUUUAUACUGCGCAUUCAGUUUGAGAAGAGUUUCACUUUCACAUUUGCUUUAUAAAUUUAAAUUGUAGUUUCAGUUUCAAAAGAGUUUCAGUAUAAGAAGAGCCUUAUUCAGUCCUAGAUUCAGUUUCAGACAAUAUUCAGUUUCAAGUAGUAUCAUGAUCAGUUAGUCAGUGGUUUCCUAAUGAUUUUCUAUUUUGGCUUCCAAUUUUUUCAGAUUAGUGUCAGUGCUCCGCGGCUUAAAGAGCAGCUAAAUUUCGUGGCUUAAGAACUAGACAGGUUAUUCUUUUGGGUUUUUCUUUGAUUGCUGCCAGUUGAACUUUCAGUCUUGUUUUGUCGGUCAGGAGGUUCCAAGAAGAGCAGGAGAGGAAGGCGGGGUGAUACUGUCAUUGUUCUUUGAAUUUAGCCUCUCACAUCAUUUAAAUUACAGUGCUGAGUUUAAGUUAUACUGUAGUUGUACAUGUGUUUGCAAGUGAUGCUCUUUUCAGAGCUGUAAUACUCCAUUGUCUUGUUUAGUUAGAAUUCGUUAACUGGUCUCUUGCAUGUGUAUCGAUCCUUCUUACAUGGCAUAUUUUUCUACAUGUGCAUACAUAUAUUAGCUUAGAUGGAUUGCAUCCAUCGAUUUUGGUCAAAAAACAAGCUUGACAGCCAGAUGGGUUCUAGAUCAGGACAAGUAUGCAUGGAGACCCGGCUAGGCCAAGUUUCCUUCAUACUCAUUUCAGCUUCUCAUUUCCCUUUGUUACAUAUUUCCUUUCAUAUUUGCUAUCUUAGAGUAUUGUUAAUAAUUACACUCACGUUUCUAUCCAUGUUGUCUUAAUUAUCUUGGUUUCUUAAUUAUUCAGAGAUAAAUUAAUCUAAUUUGCAAUGUUUGCCGUGGUGAUACAUAUACAGGUCAUGGGAAAGCACAAGGAUACUAAGAUGAAUUAGUAUGUGACCUUCAUUAACUCCUGAAUAUAUGGCUCUCAUGGUGGGUUCAUUAGUGAUAGUACAUCAACUUCAUUUGUCUCACGGAUGUCUGUGUAUAUGAUGUAUUUAACAGUGCUUGUGAGCCAUUUUGAUUAGAAGCAUUACAUUGUUCUUGUUCGCAUAUAUUAUUGAGUCAUGUCUCAAGGUAAUUGAGUUUUUGUUUUUCUUC
Molecule: long non-coding RNA, 2136 nt
Organism: Brachypodium distachyon (stiff brome)
Lineage: Eukaryota; Viridiplantae; Streptophyta; Magnoliopsida; Poales; Poaceae
Exons: 2
Source: RefSeq, a predicted model, not a curated record